GACGAACGCUGGCGGCGUGCCUAAUACAUGCGAGUCGAACGCUUCUUUCCUCCCGAGUGCUUGCACUCAAUUGGAAAGAGGAGUGGCGGACGGGUGAGUAACACGUGGGUAACCUACCCAUCAGAGGGGGAUAACACUUGGAAACAGGUGCUAAUACCGCAUAACAGUUUAUGCCGCAUGGCAUAAGAGUGAAAGGCGCUUUCGGGUGUCGCUGAUGGAUGGACCCGCGGUGCAUUAGCUAGUUGGUGAGGUAACGGCUCACCAAGGCCACGAUGCAUAGCCGACCUGAGAGGGUGAUCGGCCACACUGGGACUGAGACACGGCCCAGACUCCUACGGGAGGCAGCAGCAGGGAAUCUUCGGCAAUGGACGAAAGUCUGACCGAGCAACGCCGCGUGAGUGAAGAAGGUUUUCGGAUCGUAAAACUCUGUUGUCAGAGAAGAACAAGGACGUUAGUAACUGAACGUCCCCUGACGGUAUCUAACCAGAAAGCCACGGCUAACUACGUG
RNAcentral lists this ribosomal RNA (508 nucleotides) under uncultured bacterium. Its description in RNAcentral is "partial 16S ribosomal RNA". It matches the Rfam family "Bacterial small subunit ribosomal RNA", at positions 28 to 507 of the family's 1533-position model. The record is from RNAcentral.